ACUCCUGCGGGAGGCAGCAGUGGGGAAUAUUGCACAAUGGGCGCAAGCCUGAUGCAGCCAUGCCGCGUGUAUGAAGAAGGCCUUCGGGUUGUAAAGUACUUUCAGCGGGGAGGAAGGCAAUACGGUUAAUAACCGUGUUGAUUGACGUUACCCGCAGAAGAAGCACCGGCUAACUCCGUGCCAGCAGCCGCGGUAAUACGGAGGGUGCAAGCGUUAAUCGGAAUUACUGGGCGUAAAGCGCACGCAGGCGGUCUGUCAAGUCGGAUGUGAAAUCCCCGGGCUCAACCUGGGAACUGCAUUCGAAACUGGCAGGCUUGAGUCUUGUAGAGGGGGGUAGAAUUCCAGGUGUAGCGGUGAAAUGCGUAGAGAUCUGGAGGAAUACCGGUGGCGAAGGCGGCCCCCUGGACAAAGACUGACGCUCAGGUGCGAAAGCGUGGGGAGCAAACAGGAUUAGAUACCCCAGUAGUCCCAUGAU
Molecule: ribosomal RNA, 475 nt
Filed under: uncultured organism
Description: partial 16S ribosomal RNA
Rfam family: Bacterial small subunit ribosomal RNA
Source: RNAcentral